AGCGAACGCUGGCGGCAGGCUUAACACAUGCAAGUCGAACGGGCACUUCGGUGUCAGUGGCAGACGGGUGAGUAACACGUGGGAACGUACCUUUUGGUUCGGAACAACGGGGGGAAACUUCAGCUAAUACCGGAUAAGCCCUUCGGGGGAAAGAUUUAUCGCCAUUGGAUGGGCCCGCGUCGGAUUAGCUAGUUGGUGGGGUAAUGGGCUACCAAGGCGACGAUCCGUAGCUGGUCUGAGAGGAUGAUCAGCCACACUGGGACUGAGACACGGCCCAGACUCCUACGGGAGGCAGCAGUGGGGAAUAUUGGACAAUGGGCGCAAGCCUGAUCCAGCCAUGCCGCGUGAGUGACGAAGGUCUUCGGAUUGUAAAGCUCUUUUGGCGGGGACGAUAAUGACGGUACCCGCAGAAUAAGCUCCGGCUAACUUCGUGCCAGCCGCCGCCGUAA
Molecule: ribosomal RNA, 449 nt
Filed under: uncultured bacterium
Lineage: Bacteria
Description: partial 16S ribosomal RNA
Rfam family: Bacterial small subunit ribosomal RNA
Source: RNAcentral